Molecule: ribosomal RNA, 1446 nt
Filed under: uncultured organism
Description: SSU rRNA
Rfam family: Bacterial small subunit ribosomal RNA
Source: RNAcentral
UGGCUCAGGACGAACGCUGGCGGCGUGCUUAACACAUGCAAGUCGAACGGAAAGGCCCUGCUUUUGUGGGGUGCUCGAGUGGCGAACGGGUGAGUAACACGUGAGUAACCUGCCCUUGACUUUGGGAUAACUUCAGGAAACUGGGGCUAAUACCGGAUAGGAGCUCCUGCUGCAUGGUGGGGGUUGGAAAGUUUCGGCGGUUGGGGAUGGACUCGCGGCUUAUCAGCUUGUUGGUGGGGUAGUGGCUUACCAAGGCUUUGACGGGUAGCCGGCCUGAGAGGGUGACCGGCCACAUUGGGACUGAGAUACGGCCCAGACUCCUACGGGAGGCAGCAGUGGGGAAUAUUGCACAAUGGGCGGAAGCCUGAUGCAGCAACGCCGCGUGCGGGAUGACGGCCUUCGGGUUGUAAACCGCUUUCGCCUGUGACGAAGCGUGAGUGACGGUAAUGGGUAAAGAAGCACCGGCUAACUACGUGCCAGCAGCCGCGGUGAUACGUAGGGUGCGAGCGUUGUCCGGAUUUAUUGGGCGUAAAGGGCUCGUAGGUGGUUGAUCGCGUCGGAAGUGUAAUCUUGGGGCUUAACCCUGAGCGUGCUUUCGAUACGGGUUGACUUGAGGAAGGUAGGGGAGAAUGGAAUUCCUGGUGGAGCGGUGGAAUGCGCAGAUAUCAGGAGGAACACCAGUGGCGAAGGCGGUUCUCUGGGCCUUUCCUGACGCUGAGGAGCGAAAGCGUGGGGAGCGAACAGGCUUAGAUACCCUGGUAGUCCACGCUGUAAACGGUGGGUACUAGGUGUGGGGUCCAUUCCACGGGUUCCGUGCCGUAGCUAACGCUUUAAGUACCCCGCCUGGGGAGUACGGCCGCAAGGCUAAAACUCAAAGGAAUUGACGGGGCCCCGCACAAGCGGCGGAGCAUGCGGAUUAAUUCGAUGCAACGCGUAGAACCUUACCUGGGUUUGACAUGGAUCGGGAGCGCUCAGAGAUGGGUGUGCCUCUUUUGGGGUCGGUUCACAGGUGGUGCAUGGCUGUCGUCAGCUCGUGUCGUGAGAUGUUGGGUUAAGUCCCGCAACGAGCGCAACCCUUGUUCACUGUUGCCAGCACGUUAUGGUGGGGACUCAGUGGAGACCGCCGGGGUCAACUCGGAGGAAGGUGGGGAUGACGUCAAGUCAUCAUGCCCCUUAUGUCCAGGGCUUCACGCAUGCUACAAUGGCUGGUACAGAGAGUGGCGAGCCUGUGAGGGUGAGCGAAUCUCGGAAAGCCGGUCUCAGUUCGGAUUGGGGUCUGCAACUCGACCUCAUGAAGUCGGAGUCGCUAGUAAUCGCAGAUCAGCAACGCUGCGGUGAAUACGUUCCCGGGGCUUGUACACACCGCCCGUCAAGUCAUGAAAGUUGGUAACACCCGAAGCCGGUGGCCUAACCGUUGUGGGGGAGCCGUCGAAGGUGGGACUGGUG